RNAcentral lists this long non-coding RNA (678 nucleotides) under Coturnix japonica (Japanese quail). RNAcentral describes it as "lncRNA (ENSCJPG00005002738.1)". The record is from RNAcentral. Lineage: Eukaryota; Metazoa; Chordata; Aves; Galliformes; Phasianidae.
ACUCACGGCGGCCCGCGGCUGCCGCUGAUUAGCGGAUCAGAGAGCAGAGUGGGAAGCGGGCACAGCGCGGCCGCUCCUUCCCCGGGCACCGCCGGUCGGGCCGGGCCGGGCCGGGCCGGGCCGCCCCGAGUCACACAUCCUUCCCCUUCCAGCCCCCCUCAGCUCCUGCACAGUGUAUUUUUAUUCCUUCGGAAUAAACCGACGGCUUUGUCGGAGCACAAAUUCACCCUUCCAACAGCGAAAAGGCCUCCCCCAGCCCCUUCCCUGCCGCGUUGAGAGCCCCGACGGCACCACGGUGUGCAGCCCGCAGCGCUCCAGCGGCGCCCGCCUCAACGCUUCUGUCCCAAACUGAUCUGGGGGAAAAAAAGAAAAUUUCCUGCCAACUAGAGAAAAUUUCAUUUUGGAAACAACAAACAUUGUAUUCUGUGUUCCCUGGUUCCUGCAGCUUCUCAGUGAAAAUGGCAUUUGACAGGUAACUGACCAUUAGCUUUGUGUUCAUUUGUUGGUAUAAAUGGGAUUGGUGGGUGUUUUAUUUAUUUAUUUAUUUAUUUAUUGUUUGUUUGUUUGUUGGCAGCCUUGCUCUUAGGGCUGCCUGCAAUUCUAACACAGGGCUUCCAAGCUCUUGGUUGGUAUUUGCUGGUAGGUGAUUGGAAAGUUUGGAACUAAUGAAAGUUAUUG